GCUGGAUUCCUCCUUCCUCUAGCUUCUGGCGGCGGUUGUUCUUCCUCCGGUGGUGAUUGUGGUUCUUCCGAUUCGGCAUCUGGUUGUCGGACUUGGGAUGAUGAUCCACCUUUAAAGAAUAGUGUAUGUGGAGGUGUUUGCAUCAUGAACGGCGACGGUGUUUGAAAGCCAUACAUUGCUGGCGAUUGGUAAAAAGGAGAGCUCCCCGAAGGCAUGUGCGAUCCCUCCUGCGCCGCUGGCCUAGAUGUCGACGGUCCGCUCGGCAUAACAGGAAAUGGAGCUGAACGGGGCAUUUGGCUCCAACCUGCC
This 309-nucleotide long non-coding RNA is filed under the name Gossypium barbadense (sea-island cotton). RNAcentral describes it as "long non-coding RNA (GBAR_LNC013250)". Lineage: Eukaryota; Viridiplantae; Streptophyta; Magnoliopsida; Malvales; Malvaceae. The record is from RNAcentral.